CCGGAGAGGGAGCCCGAGAAACGGCUACCACUUCCAAGGAAGGCAGCAGGCGCGCAACUUACCCUAAUCUCGAUUCGAGGAGGUAGUGAACAAGAAAUACCGAUGCGGGACCCUACGGGGUGCCGCGUUCGGAAUGAGUACGAUUCGAACCACCUAACGAGGAACGAUCGGAGGGCAAGUCUGGUGCCAGCAGCCGCGGUAAUUCCAGCUCCAAUAGCGUACGUUAAAGUUGCUGCAGUUAAAAAGCUCGUAGUUGAACGUUCGGGUUCCGCGGGACGGGGCCGCCCCGCGAGGGACGGCGCCGCCCCCGGGGCUCGUGAUAUCUCAUCUCGCCGCCCGUCGCGAGGCGGACGGAGGGAUGGAUGAGGUUACCUGGAAAAAAAUCGGGGGCGAUCUAGGCGGGCGAACCUCGCCAACGAACGAUCGGACAUGGGAUAACGG
RNAcentral lists this ribosomal RNA (441 nucleotides) under uncultured eukaryote. RNAcentral describes it as "bacterial SSU rRNA". It matches the Rfam family "Eukaryotic small subunit ribosomal RNA", at positions 383 to 820 of the family's 1831-position model. The record is from RNAcentral.